GUGCACCAGGCGCGAAACCUUCGCAAUGCGGGAAACCGCGACGAGGGGACUCCCAGUGCCUACGCUCAGCGUAGGCUGUUCCCGAGCCUAGAAAGCUCGGGGAGUAAGGGCUGGGUAAGACGGGUGCCAGCCGCCGCGGUAAUACCCGCAGCCCGAGUGGUGGCCACUAAUUAUUGGGCCUAAAGCGUCCGUAGCCGGCCCGGUAAAUGCCUGGGUAAAUCGUGAGGCCUAACCUCACGAAUUCCGGGUAGACUGCCGGGCUAGGGACCGGAGGAGGGAGAGGGGUACUCCAGGGGUAGGGGUGAAAUCCUGUAAUCCCUGGAGGACCACCGGUGGCGAAGGCGCUCUCCUAGGACGGGUCCGACGGUGAGGGACGAAAGCCAGGGGAGCGAACCGGAUUAGAUA
RNAcentral lists this ribosomal RNA (405 nucleotides) under uncultured microorganism. RNAcentral's name for it is "bacterial SSU rRNA". It matches the Rfam family "Archaeal small subunit ribosomal RNA", at positions 330 to 735 of the family's 1478-position model. The record is from RNAcentral.